RNAcentral lists this long non-coding RNA (232 nucleotides) under Elaeis guineensis (African oil palm). RNAcentral's name for it is "long non-coding RNA (EGUI_LNC019850)". The record is from RNAcentral. Lineage: Eukaryota; Viridiplantae; Streptophyta; Magnoliopsida; Arecales; Arecaceae.
CUUAAAGGUAUCUAAACAAUGGGUUCUAGAUUUGAUCUAAUCAAAUCUGAUUCUAUAGGUUCACUAGAUUGUAUCAAUUCUUCUACCUAUCAAACUUCAUCAAGUUUAACUUUAGAGCUUCAGUUCUUUCACUAAAAAAUUUUUUUCUAAAAAAAUUGCCUUAUUGUUGACGAACAACUUUUAUUCUUCAGCAACGUAGAAGUAAUAUCCUUUAGUUUUUUUUGGAUACCCC